CUUUUAAGUACAACAUCGAUGUAAAACGUCUUUUGGGGAGAUAGAAUAUGGCUGUCUUGGGCGUCAGGGGCAAGGGGAGGCUGACGCGUCGAGCGGGUGCGAGCGAGCGGGGGAACAGCCGCUGCGGAGCGUCGAGGGGGUGCGACUCGGCGCCGCGGCGAGCGGGCGCGUUGAGGGGGCGGGUCAAGAGAGGAGGGAUGGGACUUUUAGGACGAAGGCGGCGCGGUGUCGAGGGGGCGCUUCGAGUUCCUUGCCGAAACGGGGAAGGAACUCAGGGAGCAGCGGUACCGAACGCAGGAGGAAGGAAGAGGUACCACUCGAGGAGGGACGACGGAGGUAGGUACAGGCGGUAGCUCGUCCUGUACCACCGCCGGUCUAGGUGCGGACGAGCAGUCCUCUGCCUGCGGUACCUCGACAAGUAGUUCCAGGAUGGAACCACUCACGACUGCGGUUCGUCCGCACGACGCGGCCACUCAGCGAGAUCUUCCUCGAACUCCUCUACCCACACGGCCACACAGUUCUAGACAGCGACCACACGACAUUCCUCAUCUUAAGACUUAAAUUCAACCUCUGUUGUAAAGACUUGGAACAAAAUAAGACUUAGUAAAUUCAACCUCAUGAAACUAACCUUUAAGCAUACCUGAAACUAACCUUUAAGAAGUGUUAGACUUAAAAGUCCAUAUUUUGACCCGAAAUGUGUUGACCCACAAAAGUCCAUGAGGUAGUCUCCUCGUCGAGAAGGUACCCCAGGUUGUCGCAAAGGUCAGUGUCCAUAUGCAUAAUAGACUUUGAUACAUGAGGAGGAACGCUGCUCGGUCUGCUGUGUUCGUUUCCGAGGGGGAACGUUCGAGCUGCCGUCGCCGACGACAGAAGAAGCGUCGUCAUGCUUCUCUAGAGUUAGAAUGAUUCUAGGACAAGCACCCGCCCAAUCACCGACAGCUGGUGUUGGUGGUGGUGGUCAUCGGCCGCCGGCUUAGCCCCCGCUUCACCUGGUCGCAACGCCGCCGCCCGCCGUCUUAACCCCCGUUUCACCUGGUCUCACCGCCGCCACCUGCCGCCUUAGUCCCCGUUUCACCUGGUCGCGUUGCCGCCACCCACCGCCUCCGGGACGAGCACCCACCCGCCGCCUCCAGGAGGACCCGCCUGAGCAGCCGCCACGUCCCGGACAACACCCACCGGAGGACCCGCCCGAGCAGCCGUCUCGUCCUGGACGAACCCGUUGCCCGCCGACCGGUACCGCGGCGCGCCCGCUGCCUGCCUCCUCCUUCUUGCUCUACCUCUGAAUAAACAGUCUCGAAAUCUUCAAAUUCCCGAAAAGACGUUUUUGUAGUAACAUGACACGCACGCUGUACUUAAAGUCCUGCUUCCCUCAUACACGAAUUAUUCCUUCCCGCCGACUUCUCAUACAAGACUACGCUAAACUUCAUAAGGUAAGCAAAAUUUUAUUCAUACAGUUGAAGCAUGAUUCAAUUCUGUAAAUAAAACAACCCUGCCUCUCUCAUACUGGGCUCGCCACCUAGUGGUGCUGCCAGUUCGUACGUGCAUC
This 1546-nucleotide ribosomal RNA is filed under the name Triticum aestivum (bread wheat). Its description in RNAcentral is "partial small subunit ribosomal RNA". The record is from RNAcentral. Lineage: Eukaryota; Viridiplantae; Streptophyta; Magnoliopsida; Poales; Poaceae.